UGGGAGCUUCUUGUUCUUUGGUGACUGGA
RNAcentral lists this non-coding RNA (29 nucleotides) under Mus musculus (house mouse). Lineage: Eukaryota; Metazoa; Chordata; Mammalia; Rodentia; Muridae. The record is from RNAcentral.